This 211-nucleotide ribosomal RNA is filed under the name Glomus sp. (unid). The record is from RNAcentral. Lineage: Eukaryota; Fungi; Glomeromycota; Glomeromycetes; Glomerales; Glomeraceae.
CAGUCGUACCUGCGGAUAAUCAGCUUUUUGAGUGUGAUUAUGUGGUUUAUGAGGAGUUUAACCGCCCUCAUGUUUUGCAUAUUCGUGCACAUUUGGUGUACUUGUCCGUGUGGUGGGUUAACAUCAAUUUCGGUCGUCAUAAAAUGACUGGAGGAAUGUAGCUUCGAUCUCGUAUUGAAGUGUUAUAGCCUUCGGUAGAUGUGAUGAUCGA